UCGGGAAUUUUGGGCAAUGGGCGAAAGCCUGACCCAGCAACGCCGCGUGAGGGAUGAAGUAUUUCGGUAUGUAAACCUCGAAAGAAUGGGAAGAAUAAAUGACGGUACCAUUUAUAAGCUCCGGCUAACUACGUGCCAGCAGCCGCGGUAAUACGUAGGGAGCAAGCGUUGUUCGGAUUUACUGGGCGUAAAGGGCGCGUAGGCGGCGCGGUAAGUCACUUGUGAAAUCUCUGAGCUUAACUCAGAACGGCCAAGUGAUACUGCUGCGCUAGAGUGCGGAAGAGGCGACCGGAAUUCUUGGUGUAGCGGUGAAAUGCGUAGAUAUCAAGAGGAACACCUGGGGCGAAGGCGGGUUGCUGGGCCGACACUGACGCUGAUGCGCGAAAGCCAGGGGAGCAAACG
RNAcentral lists this ribosomal RNA (402 nucleotides) under uncultured bacterium. RNAcentral describes it as "bacterial SSU rRNA". It matches the Rfam family "Bacterial small subunit ribosomal RNA", at positions 355 to 774 of the family's 1533-position model. The record is from RNAcentral.